GUUGCUGUUUUUCAGAAGUAGAAGGUGGAGGUGCUUCUAGGCCCCAACUGGUUAAUAUUUGAUUAGUUUUUUAAUGGGUGUUAAAAGCUUAAUUGCUGACCAUUUAAGUUUAUAUAUAUAUUCGGUUUUGAUUUCUAAAGGAAUGUUUGGUUGGGACAGGGUCAUGGGUUUCGAAGUGAUCUAUUUAAGAUGGUUGCAGAUAUGAAGCCUGCAUUUAUCAGAUUUCCAGGUUUACCUAUACUAUAUAAGAAGAUGAAGAGAGAUAGGUUGAGAUGGUUUCCGUGCUCUGGAACUUCAAAGAAGAAGAAGAUGAAGAUAUGGGGAUGGUUUCCAUGCUCUGGAACCUCAAAGAAGAUGAAGAGCUAUCACCUAUGAGCUUCAGAGGAUGGAAAAAGGAAAAAGUGUUUCAUAGAGAGUUGACUACUUGACUUGGUCAAGUUGAUAUGAUAUGGUCAAUAAAAUUCCACUCAUGCUGGGAAUUCUUUCUAAAGAGUAAG
Molecule: long non-coding RNA, 497 nt
Organism: Helianthus annuus (common sunflower)
Lineage: Eukaryota; Viridiplantae; Streptophyta; Magnoliopsida; Asterales; Asteraceae
Exons: 3
Source: RefSeq, a predicted model, not a curated record